AUUGAACGCUGGCGGCAGGCCUAACACAUGCAAGUCGAACGGUAACAGGAAGAAGCUUGCUUCUUUGCUGACAAGUGGCGGACGGGUGAGUAAUGUCUGGGAAACUGCCUGAUGGAGGGGGAUAACUACUGGAAACGGUAGCUAAUACCGCAUAACGUCGCAAGACCAAAGAGGGGGACCUUCGGGCCUCUUGCCAUCGGAUGUGCCCAGAUGGGAUUAGCUAGUAGGUGGGGUAACGGCUCACCUAGGCGACGAUCCCUAGCUGGCCUGAGAGGAUGACCAGCCACACUGGAACUGAGACACGGUCCAGACUCCUACGGGAGGCAGCAGUGGGGAAUAUUGCACAAUGGGCGCAAGCCUGAUGCAGCCAUGCCGCGUGUAUGAAGAAGGCCUUCGGGUUGUAAAGUACUUUCAGCGGGGAGGAAGGGAGUAAAGUUAAUACCUUUGCUCAUUGACGUUACCCGCAGAAGAAGCACCGGCUAACUCCGUG
RNAcentral lists this ribosomal RNA (490 nucleotides) under uncultured bacterium. RNAcentral describes it as "partial 16S ribosomal RNA". It matches the Rfam family "Bacterial small subunit ribosomal RNA", at positions 30 to 507 of the family's 1533-position model. The record is from RNAcentral.